AACGUAGGAGGCAAGCGUUAUCCGGAAUUACUGGGCGUAAAGGGCGUCUAGGCGGAAGGGAAAGCGGGAUGUGAAAGCUCCUGGCUCAACUGGGAGAGUGCGUACCGAACUAUCUUUCUAGAGGCCAGGCGAUGGGGGUGGAAUUCCCGGUGGAGUGGUGAAAUGCGUAGAGAUCGGGAGGAACACCAGUGGCGCAAGCGGCCCCCAAGCCUGAGCCUGACGCUGAAGCGCGACAGCGUGGGGAGCAAAC
RNAcentral lists this ribosomal RNA (250 nucleotides) under uncultured bacterium. RNAcentral's name for it is "partial 16S ribosomal RNA". It matches the Rfam family "Bacterial small subunit ribosomal RNA", at positions 524 to 773 of the family's 1533-position model. The record is from RNAcentral.